GGGGCGAGGAGAGCCAGGACGAACCCUCUCCCGUAAACCUAGCGCCCCAGGCCCAAUCCACUCCGUCCUCGAGCCCCACGCCAUUCUUCUUCCCUCUCCACGCCGUCCGGCCUCCCCUGCUCCACGACCCUCCGCCUCAGGGCCUCCCGCGCCGCCGCCUUCUCUUCCGGGCCUCUUCUCCGACGCUCGAGGUGCAGCCGGGGCGACCUCCUCCUCCUCUUCCUCUCCUCCUUUCCUGGAGGGGAGCCGACCUACAGGUAAAGGGCGACGGCGGCGGCGCUCGAGCAGAUGAGAGGGAGAGAGAGGUAGGUGCAGCGAGGCGACGGACGGGAGAGGGGCGAGGGCGAGCUCCAGCGCGAGCGCGCGGACCCGUCACCCACGCCGGCAAGGUCCUCGGCCCCAAGCUGCGCCUCUACCACCGCGAAGGCGACUGCUGCGACCACGCUCGGUUUUGUUCAGUGCGCACACACACUGUGCCGUCUCCAGGUGCCAGUUGAAGUUACUAUCGGGCUUUAUUGCCCUCCUCUGAUUUGGUGUUGUAGGAGAAAGAAGAAGACCAGGCAUGUUCUUUGUCUCUACAUCCAACGUCCACACGGCUAGAUCGACGGGUCUAAACUCUUGAUGUAGCACAUUGUGUGUAUGAAUCAUGGUGAAUGUCAAGCCUACUUAGGUCAUACCCAAGUAAGGUGAGUAUAGAUGUAUAGUACUUAGGUCAAGCCUACUUAUGUUUUUCUAUAGUUAAAGUGCAUGUGUGUUGCUGUGAUGUAUAUAAGUGAAAGGGAACAAAAAAGAAUGGGAGAAGGGAGCUUCUUGCUUUCCUUUUUCCCUUUUGUUUCUGUUUGAUAAUUACUCAUCGAUCCUGAUGCUUGAGUAUUUUCUAACCUCCCCUGUUUUAUUCUUUUGGUGCUACUUGGACAUUUCUAAUGUCUGUUUUUUUGUUUUCUUUCUGAAUACAGAAAGAAUAAGCUACUAGCAUUCCUAAUGUGCAAGUAAACCUACUGGGAUUACGACUGGAAAAAAAUCAUGACAUGCGAGCAAUUCUCAAUUUAGAUACUGUGAGCUUAAAUAACAAGAGCUAAACUGUCGUGCCAUGUUCAGAAUUGGUAAUAGAAAAGAUAAUCUAAACGCACAUUAUGAAACUAUCUAGACUCCUGCCUUUGGGGAAUUAGGUUGCUAAGUAUUAUUUUGUAAAUAAAUGACAUGCUAACUUGCUGGUUCAGUUUAAAGCUAUAGGCAGGGGCUUGCGGUAGGGGGGGGGGGUAUCAUUGUGGCAGUUGAAAACCAAAACGUUUAUUCAUGAGUGUAUGAUCUGGACAGCGCUUUUCUGAAAGUAUGUUACGAUCCUGCUCUUGGGAGAUUAAGCUGUUGUGGUAUUGCUUGGUAAAUAAUUGGCAUGCUAAAACGUUGGUUGUUGUUUCCGUGGUGGGGACCAAUAAUAGAAAGAAGGUGCUUCCUUAGAUGGUUGGUUAGGUCGUGGGUGCAGCAAGGAAAGGGCCACCUGAUGACGGUUCUGGACUUGAGGUCUAACAAAAAGUAUUGGUCAGUGUAGUGUUUUCUGGUUUCUUGAUCAGUGUGUCAGAGGCCAUGAAUUAUUUUCAUGUUUGCAAAGUUUUUUUGGGAUUGUAUUUGUAAAGUAUACCCCGGUUGAGAGGCUAGGAGGGAUAUUGCUGAACAAAUAUAUCUGACUUCUUGAAUGUCUGUACAGUUAGUCAGAGAUGAAAUGACAAGCAGCUCUCCUGCGUCGUUCGAGAAGAAAAGAAAACAAAAUACGAGGAUUAUAUAAUCCCACUUUAUGCUUACCGUUAGUCCGAGAUUAAGUGAUUAUUUGUGCCGCGGUCGCUACAACAAAUCAUCUAAAAUAAGCUACUAGCGUUUUUUUUAAUCCAAGCUUUCUUGCUUAGAAUUAGAUAAUAUACGCCUGCUUCAUACAUAUUAUUCUUUCUGAGAGGGGCAUGAUCAUCAUGAAAUCAACAAAUUAUAUACGUAUGUGUGAAUCGUUUCUAGACACAAAGAGGAACAUUCCACUGUAUAAAUCGUUCUAGAGCUAUUAGCUGUAGUCCAUUGUAAGGUACAACCUUAGUUUUAAACAUCAUACUAACAGAUAUGUAUUGGAAUUUUAAUGUUUCAACUUCUUUGAACCAUCUAUUUUCUUGCACUAGAAUAUUGCAAUGGAGUUUUCAGUUUCUAAAUGGAUUUCCAGAUCUGAGACAGAAUAGAAGAGAAAAAAAUUCCUAUGGAAGAGUUUGACGAGAACAAGAAUUUUGCAAUGGGGAAUUUAUCCACAAAGCUUGUCUUGUCAUGUGUAGGCUACGCGACUAUACACCAGCAUGGCCAGUUAUAAGGGCACCCUGGAUGGACACACUGAAGAUCCCUCUUGCUGUGUGGAACACGCCACGCUUGACGACGUCUCCGUCUGGGAGUGGUCUGGUUCUGCCUAUGAUGAAGGAGCUGAAGCAGCUGAAUGGCUCUCCACCUAUUUCGGGAAGCCAUGUCGGCUCGUGUGUUUUAAAGAAGGUGUACGCCUUGCUAUGUUCUUCCAAAACAAAAUAUACCUUGGAUACCUGUCAAAAAGUAUUUAGAAAAUGUUUUCUCAAUGAGAUCGUCUCUGGUACUUAUGGAGAAAGUCUCCUUUCCAUGCUUUUCAUAGAGUCCGAAAUUAGGCCGACUAAUCCUGAGUAUGCUCAAGGCUGCUCACCUUCACGGAUUGCUUCCCGUUCCUGAUAGCAUCCCAGGGCUCAUUGAAUGCACUAAAUGAGGUUCUUAAAGAACCUGUACCAAUCAAUCGCUCCAGACCAAAUAUUUUAGUUGAUGGAUGCCACCCGCAUGGAUAGGAUAUGUGGAAACCCAUAAAGAUAAACAAGCUAUCAUUUGACAGGGUGAAGUUAUGCGACCGUUGCAAGUUAGCCGCAAUGGAAAAAGUCAGGAUCUCAACAAAGAACCUUCUGGACGAUAUGAUGCAGCAGCUUGGCCUUCCAAACGCAGCGUACUCAACAUAGAAGGCAAGGACGGUUGGUCAACCAUUCACUAUCCAUCAAAGCACCAACUGGACAACCGACUUCCAAGGAUAUCAAUAUCCAUUUACGUGUACGGUAAACUCAAAGAAGCUUAAGAUCGACCGGCAACUAAAGCUCUCAAGUAGUCCAAGUGAAGUGAAGGAACUUUAUCGCAUAAUAAAUACAAACUCCACAGCAAGAUCAACACCCAAAGCCAACAAUCUGAAACAUAUUUCGUCACAGAUAAGAUAUGUUGCUGAUCGUCUUAACGAUAUAAGUUUACAAUCAGAAACCGUUAUAUAGAAAACAAACAAGUAUUAUUGAAGCAUGAAUGAUGAUAUUGAAGGAAUUUCUGCUCUGAGCAAUGCAGGCCAUGAAGAACAACAUCUAUGAAGACUUGCCUCAAAGAAAUUGUUCUAAACAUCCAACGAUACAUCUGUCAAAUGUAGCUUAGCUCUGCCUAUCUACAUGCCUUGCUCAUAACAUUGUAAAUGAUUGUUUGUAAGCUUCUUAGAAAACAUGUAUCAUCAGCAACCAUCUAUCUAUCAUCAAUUCGUACUUAUUUUCAUA
Molecule: long non-coding RNA, 3563 nt
Organism: Triticum aestivum (bread wheat)
Lineage: Eukaryota; Viridiplantae; Streptophyta; Magnoliopsida; Poales; Poaceae
Exons: 8
Source: RefSeq, a predicted model, not a curated record